UAGCGGCGGACGGGUGAGUAACACGUGGAUAACCUACCUAUAAGACUGGGAUAACUUCGGGAAACCGGAGCUAAUACCGGAUAAUAUAUUGAACCGCAUGGUUCAAUAGUGAAAGACGGUUUUGCUGUCACUUAUAGAUGGAUCCGCGCCGCAUUAGCUAGUUGGUAAGGUAACGGCUUACCAAGGCAACGAUGCGUAGCCGACCUGAGAGGGUGAUCGGCCACACUGGAACUGAGACACGGUCCAGACUCCUACGGGAGGCAGCAGUAGGGAAUCUUCCGCAAUGGGCGAAAGCCUGACGGAGCAACGCCGCGUGAGUGAUGAAGGUCUUCGGAUCGUAAAACUCUGUUAUUAGGGAAGAACAAAUGUGUAAGUAACUAUGCACGUCUUGACGGUACCUAAUCAGAAAGCCACGGCUAACUACGUGCCAGCAGCCGCGGUAAUACGUAGGUGGCAAGCGUUAUCCGGAAUUAUUGGGCGUAAAGCGCGCGUAGGCGGUUUUUUAAGUCUGAUGUGAAAGCCCACGGCUCAACCGUGGAGGGUCAUUGGAAACUGGAAAACUUGAGUGCAGAAGAGGAAAGUGGAAUUCCAUGUGUAGCGGUGAAAUGCGCAGAGAUAUGGAGGAACACCAGUGGCGAAGGCGACUUUCUGGUCUGUAACUGACGCUGAUGUGCGAAAGCGUGGGGAUCAAACAGGAUUAGAUACCCUGGUAGUCCACGCCGUAAACGAUGAGUGCUAAGUGUUAGGGGGUUUCCGCCCCUUAGUGCUGCAGCUAACGCAUUAAGCACUCCGCCUGGGGAGUACGACCGC
Molecule: ribosomal RNA, 810 nt
Filed under: Staphylococcus epidermidis
Lineage: Bacteria; Bacillati; Bacillota; Bacilli; Caryophanales; Staphylococcaceae
Description: bacterial SSU rRNA
Rfam family: Bacterial small subunit ribosomal RNA
Source: RNAcentral